This is a long non-coding RNA of Mesocricetus auratus (golden hamster), 989 nucleotides long. RefSeq lists it as uncharacterized. The record is from RefSeq and is a predicted model, not a curated record. The transcript has 3 exons. NCBI's taxonomy places the organism in Eukaryota, Metazoa, Chordata, Mammalia, Rodentia, Cricetidae.
GGAGUCAAGAUGUAACCGCCAUAGGGAUAAGAAGCCCGGAAACUUCUCCGCAUGCCCAAAGGAUGUGGCCACUUCUACAAGUUCACUGGCAAGGCAAGAUGCCACUAUGGAUAGCAGCUCCGUCUGGAUACUCAGCAGUAAAGAUUCUUAGAGCCCACAUGAAUGCUCCUCAUGGAAAGCCAGGGCCCGGAACCAUCAUGCGCUACAUCUGAACUCUUAUCUCUGCUUCUCCUUCUUGGGGCCAUCUGAGAAGUGUGGCCAGGCCAGAAGCUGAAGCAUGCCCUUCACAACAGCGGCACAUCUGGGUGAUGAGUGGAGUGUGUGAGCUGGGACACAGGCCUGGAGUCACAGGUGGAUGCUGGCUAUCCGUCCUGACUGGGAGUCUCCUGGGGCCAUCCUGGCUGACUGGUAUUGGAGAUGUACCUGCCAUUCUGCAUAGUGACCGCAUGUGGAAAGGGCUUUGUGACUAGCAUAGCUCUUCUCAGGGUUACCUUAGAGUGAUUUGGGAUGAGCAAGGAAUGCCAUCCCCAGGGACAAGAGGGUAGGGAAACUGCCUGUUGUUUUGUUUGUUGCAUUUCUACCACCUGGAGCCGUCCUAGAGGCAAGCCAGAUACGAUGCAGUUGAAUGAAUGAGAUGAGUCCUCCACCUGUUUUGUGUCCUGUGCCCCAAGCAGUGGAAAGUCCUGUGAUACCAAGAUUCCUCACUGUAUUAGUCAGGGUUCUCUGAGAAACAGAACUUACAAAAUGAAUCUAUCUAUCUAUCUAUCUAUCUAUCUAUCUAUCUAUCUUUCUUUCUUUCUUUCUUUCUCUGCCUCAUGACUGUGGCUACUGCAGUGUGACCGCUGACUCCCAUCUUCUGCCACCAUGCCUUCCCUGCCAUAAUAGGCCGUCCCUUCAAACUGUAGCAAAAUACACCUGUUUUCCCUCAGGUUGCUGUUGUCCAAGCAACAGGAAGAGUAAUUAAUAAACCAAGGAGCCAAGUAUGUAAA